AAAUAUUUUUGUGGGCAGUUUCUCUACAAUAACUGUUCCAUUAUCUUCAUAAUGGGAACUCCUAGCUCCAGUAGUAUCUAUGUAAAUCAAAAACUUAACAAAGCCCUCUUCUUUCAUAAUCAGAUCAUUAACCCCUUUCAAUUUCUUUCUAAAUCAGUGGAAAUAGAAAUUAUUUUGUUCUUCGACAGUUAUGGCACCCUCAAAUCAUGAUCCAGAUUAUCAGCUUCCAAAUUCUUCAAAUGCUAUUAUAAGUCAACAAGAUUGUACAAAUACAAGAAAAAAUGGAAGAGGAAGAACCAUUGGCUUAGGUGUCUCAAAAAGGAAAAAGAAGAGUGCUACUGGAAAAUUGCAUGUUGAUAUUCCAGCAGAUAAAAUGGUAG
Long non-coding RNA from Trifolium pratense (red clover), 380 nucleotides. RefSeq lists it as uncharacterized. The record is from RefSeq and is a predicted model, not a curated record. NCBI's taxonomy places the organism in Eukaryota, Viridiplantae, Streptophyta, Magnoliopsida, Fabales, Fabaceae. The transcript is spliced from 3 exons.